UCAUUUCUAGAAGGAACAAAAUCAAUUAAAUAUAGAUCAAAUUUCCCCAACGAAAAUGUGAAAAUGAACACAAUCCCCAAAGGAAAAAACUAAAGCUGCUAAUUACCACUCCUAUCAAUAUUCAAUUUCAACUAAUUUUUCCGAGCAUCUGCGAGAUUAAAUCUGUGAAUUUUCGCAGUGACUAGUUUGAUUCUCAUUAUUGUAGUUCUCUGCUUUGCUUCUUGCAUUUUUCUUUGUCUUCUUCUCGUUUUCCGAAUUUGGACUAGAUUAUUUGUGGAUCAAAAGCUGGUGAAGGCGAUCGCAGCUUUAUGCUUGAGCGAUAAUUGAAGUAUGAAUCGAAGCCGAAAAAGCGGCAAGGCAACUCAUGGCCGCUGAAACUCACUUUUAGUUUAGAAAGAGGCUUUUGGCAAAUGGGCCUAUCGUCUUUCCCAAAGCCCCUUUUGUUCCAUCACACCUUAUAUGGAUAGAAUUCCUCAUCCCUAAGUUUCGAUUUUUCACAGCCUUUUGCUUCGAUUGCGACGUUUUGCGAUUCUUUCCGGCUAGGAAUGGCAUAGGCACUCCAGAUUUUUGUUUGGUAGCUGCAACUGAGUAGAAGCAACUUGAUUGUAGGACAAUUGUGUGAAGUUGAAAAAUUGUGCAUUUUACAUUUCCAUUGACUGAUUGUUUGAUAGUUCUGGUGUUAUUAUUGUCUUCCAUUUUGAAUAAUGAGUCAGUAGUGUUAUUGAUAGUUCUGGUGUUAUUAUUAGCCAAAAUUAAGCGGUUCAUUUUAUUUUCUUUACAUAUCAUAUGGUUUUAUCUGUGGCUUUAAUAAACUGCUUAUCUGUUGCUGUUUGUAAGUGUUUUUUGUGAGCUUAGUCUCUGAUUUCACUUGAUUUUUAUGUAGAUGAAUGAUUACGGUUUACUGUUUGAACAUGACUUAAUAAUUGACGAACAUGUAUGGCUUCAGAUAAGGAUAAUGUAUGUAUCAUCUAAAGAUGAACCAAUCCACUGCAUUCCACAAAUAGGAAUUGUAAACAUCCCCACAAAGUUGGAUCAAUGAUUAUGCCAUUUUGGUCAAACUAAAACUGCUUUGGUGUUAUCCUUCUUUUCUAGGACAAUGAGUGACUAGAUUGAGAUAUUUUUGUCAUGACCACUCAUUGUUGCUUUCAGGGCGUGCUUGACAUUAGCUGGAUCUGCAUUUUGAGUGGAAGUUGUGAACGGAACUGUUGAGACACUGGAUUCACGAAAAUCGACUGAUGGACUUGACGUUUCAUGUCCUCUGUGUAAGAUAUCGACUUCGGGGAUUAUUGAAACUGGGCAGGUUCUGGAUGUAGCCUGGUUUUUGAGAUAGAACAUGAUCAGCUCUUCAUCAGUGGGGUGAAAUCUGAAACCUGGAGGAAGAUCAGUGCUAGAAGUGCUAUGAGGAGAAGGAGAAGGAGAAGGAGAAGGAGAAGGAGAGGGAGAAGUGUUUGAAAUGUUUGCAAGGCAAUAGCUCGUCUAUUUAUAUCUCAACAUUUUUGUCAUCUUGUGAGUUUUACUUAAUGAAGCUAUUAACAUUUUUGCAAUGAGGACAAAAUGCUCCAUUCUAGCACAAAACAUGAGACAAAAUCAACAACAAGAACUACACACAGUCUAAGCUAGAAGCAAUAAAAGAUAAAAGCACACAACUUAAGUAAAAUUCACACCUUUUAAAAAUGUUUGGAAGAUGGAUGCCCAACUAAGAGAGGAAGCAUGCGGCCGGAUCCUUGGGCAAGCAUAGAAAUAUGUUCCAUCGAUCAUGACAUUAGUACCAUAAGCAACUUAAGAAUUUGUAGUUGAAAAUGGCGUGUUCUAAUGUUUGGAGUAUUGAUUUAUUGCAUAAAUAUAUCUAUCAUCAUCGAUUCCUUGGAUUCAUAUGUUUGAUCAAGCUAUUGACAUGACCUAAUCAAAUUUGAUCUUG
This is a long non-coding RNA of Salvia splendens (bonfire salvia), 1918 nucleotides long. RefSeq lists it as uncharacterized. The record is from RefSeq and is a predicted model, not a curated record. Lineage: Eukaryota; Viridiplantae; Streptophyta; Magnoliopsida; Lamiales; Lamiaceae. The transcript has 6 exons.